GGACUACCGGGGUUUCUAAUCCUGUUCGAUCCCCACGCUUUCGUGCCUCAGUGUCAGUUUCGCCUUCGUGAGCUGUCUUCACUAUCGGUGUUCUGUGCCAUAUCUAAGCAUUUCACCGCUACACGGCACAUUCCGCCCACGUCAAGCGUACUCAAGAGCGACAGUAUCAAUGGCGAUUCUACAGUUAAGCUGCAGGAUUUCACCACUGACUUACCGCCCCACCUACGCACCCUUUAAACCCAAUGAAUCCGGAUAACGCUUGCACCCUUCGUAUUACCGCGGCUGCUGGCAC
This 292-nucleotide ribosomal RNA is filed under the name uncultured Bacteroidota bacterium. RNAcentral's name for it is "uncultured Bacteroidetes bacterium partial 16S ribosomal RNA". Lineage: Bacteria; Pseudomonadati; Bacteroidota. The record is from RNAcentral.